CAAGUCCAAACCUUGGAAUGUUUUCGCAUGAAGUUUACAGUGUUUCUUCAUCACCCAAUAAAACUCUUUGAUUUCUUCCCGCCGCAGACAGUUUUAAGAGCCUUCAUUUCACAUGGGGUUCUCGGUAUGCUUUUUAAUUUUUAUUUUAAGAUCAUUUUUUAUCACUUCAUCUCCUGUCUCCCACUCUGAGCCUAAGUUCAGUUCGGCCUCCCCGAGCCCCACUGCCUCCCUGCAGUGGGGCACGCCGGCCGAGGCUCAGAGGGGCUUGGUGUUUCCUAAUGUGAGGCGAGGUGUGGUCCCCUGGACUGCAGGAAUAUUUAGAGAUCUGCGCUUAGACUCAAGGAGUAAAAUGCUUAACCUCCUAAUGGUUUACCUUUCUGCAUCUUCCCCUACACAGGAAACACACACUGCAAAGCAAAGUGACUUUUGAAAAGCUACCUCUGAAAAGCAAAGAGAUACUACAAAGCUCUUCAAAAAUGUCUCUGAAUGAAUGAAUUUGUCUGUAAUACAAACUGCGUAGGUAAAAAACUAAUCAGUUAUGACUGUCCCCAACAUUUAGUCGCCUGGUCCAGUCUAUGCAAAGUGGGCUGGUGAAUCCGCAGCAGCAGCAUCUCCUGGGAACCUGCUAGCAAUGCAGAACCUCAGAACCUCAGCCUCUCCCCACCACCCACCCAAUCAAAAUCUGCUCUUUAACCAAUGGCCAGGUGGUUCCCAUACAUGUUAGAAUUUCAGAAGCGUUGACCUAGUUAAUAUACGUCAUGAAUUGGUGCGAAGAAUCAUUUUACAAAAUAUGUGUCCCAGCCUCGUGUGUCUAUUUACAUCUUGCCUCCAUCCACAAGGCGUCUGAAGAGCUAAUCUCGUACUUGGGUAAACUCAGAGGGAAGCCAGUGAGGAGCGGGGAGGGAGUCGAGACAGCAUUCACUGGGGGCCGCAUGCCGCUGGCCUUGCUGGCAGCAGUUGGUGGAGACCCAGCACUGUGGUUUUUCAAAAUAACUAAAGCUCUUUCCUCCAACCAUGAUAUCCUUGACAAAAGGUGCUUCUGUAAAGAUGUAAAUCAUGAAAAUACAAGUUAUACAUUAUGCAGGUAAAUAUGUAUCAGGAUAUAUUCAGAGCUGGCCAUUUGAAGUAGAUUUUUCUCAUCUUUUGUUUUAAAGCAGAAGACGGACUGCUGUUAACUGGUCUAUUCAAAAAAAGCACCACCAUGUUUCCACUAAUGCUCACUGUAAUCUAAAGUCACUCAAGUAGAGAGCCAACAGGCAUUCAAAGUACAUCGCCAGUGAUGUAAAAGGUCAUCUCUGACUUGCACUAAACAGAACAAUGGUGACAAUGAAAACCCAGCAAAUUCACUAGUCUAUGACAUUCAUGUUUUGAGAAACAGAUUUAGUGAUCACAAAAGUCAUAAGCAAUAGCUUCUAAACUUAAGCUAAGCAGAAUCAAACAAACAGAACCUCCAACGAUUUUGAGGUACACUAAGUGGGACCCACUGAGGUUCAGAAGGCCCAAAUGAGACGUGCCUCUCUUCAUGAACCCAGGAGGCAGAGAUUGCCGUGAGCCAAGAUCGAUCGCAUCAUUGGACUCCAGCCUGGGCAACAAGAGUGAAACUCCGUCUCAAAAAAAAAAAAAGAAAAAAAGAAAAGAAAAGCAACAUAAAUACUAACUUGAUUUAGUCUUUCCUUCAGCAAGCAUUUUCAAGUUCUGCACAAAUGGAGCAGUGCACAGAAUCCUUUCUCCAUGGCCAAAAGAGAAGGUUCUGUGUGUGUCUCAGUGUGGAGUCUUUGCCACUGCUUGGUGAAAUAGGAGUCCAUCCCAUGAGUCAGGGCAGGAUUUAACUGUUAGCAAUGCCCUGGGGAGGUCAUUGAGGACCAGCAGGGCCAGGUGGUACAGCCAGUACCUUUUAAAGGUUGUAUCCCAUAUUUAGGCCUACGCAUAGGCUGGCAAUGUUUAAGUGUGAUCCUGUUUGGGUAAAUCCUUUAAGGAAAAUACAUAUAUGCUGGUGUGUGCAUUAAAACAUCUCAAAGAAAUCACAAGAAGCUAUUGACUGUGUUUGUUAUGCAGAUAGAAACUUAAAUCGGGGGCAUCGAGUAUUCUAUUUCAGUUAUUUUCUGUAGUUUGAAUUUGUUACCACAUGCUAGUAUGUGGUAUUCAUUCAUUCAUUCAAGAUAAGACCUGGCUAUGCUCAGAGGAGU
RNAcentral lists this long non-coding RNA (2186 nucleotides) under Homo sapiens (human). Its description in RNAcentral is "non-protein coding lnc-WRNIP1-16:1". The record is from RNAcentral. Lineage: Eukaryota; Metazoa; Chordata; Mammalia; Primates; Hominidae.